AGAUAAUAUGGCAGCCUGAUUAUUAUAAUCCACAUGUCAAUACUUGGUGUGUCCAUUAAGUACUCAAGAUUUUGGUUCUCCAGUGGUACUCAGCCAUAGCCUUGGCUUGAGACUCCAAGAUGGCUUCAUUUACCUGUCUGAUAUGUCAGCAGAAUAGUCUCUUCAGCAUGGUGAGAUUAUCCUGGCCUCCCUGGCUAAGGGGCAGGAAAGAUAAUUUCAACUCAAGGAGAAAAGACAGACCCCAUGAGAAAUAGAAAAAAACAAACUUGCUUUCAUUUUGAGAGAAGGGGCUUCAAAGAAUCAUUGUUUCAACUUGUAUAAUCAGUUCACCAUGGCUUCCAUGCAUGGAGGAUCUCCUGAAAGCUAGAUACUGCUUAUCUGCAUGUUACCUGCCUUAUCUCUUAGAAUUACAGUUCUCUUAUGCCUACACAUUUGAAUAAGUCCCCCAAAGUCCUUAUGUUGAAAGCAGUCCCCAAUGUAGCAGCCUUUGAAGGAUAGGGUCUAAUGGGUGGUGAUUAGGUGAUUCGGUCUUUGCCUUCAGGAGUGGAUUAAAGGCAUCCAGUGAGUGGGUUGGUUCUCAAAAGAGGAAAUUUAUAAACUGUACCUUUUCUCCUGGUGUUACAUG
Long non-coding RNA from Arvicanthis niloticus (Nile rat), 625 nucleotides. RefSeq lists it as uncharacterized. The record is from RefSeq and is a predicted model, not a curated record. Lineage: Eukaryota; Metazoa; Chordata; Mammalia; Rodentia; Muridae.